This 331-nucleotide ribosomal RNA is filed under the name uncultured bacterium. RNAcentral's name for it is "bacterial SSU rRNA". It matches the Rfam family "Bacterial small subunit ribosomal RNA", at positions 568 to 898 of the family's 1533-position model. The record is from RNAcentral.
CGCGUAGGUGGUUGCGUAAGUCGGAUGUGAAAUCCUGAGGCUUAACCUCAGAACUGCAUCUGAUACUGCGUGACUCGAGUGCAGCAGAGGGAAACGGAAUUCCUGGUGUAGAGGUGAAAUUCGUAGAUAUCAGGAGGAACACCGGUGGCGAAGGCGGUUUCCUGGGCUGACACUGACACUGAGGCGCGAAAGCGUGGGUAGCAAACAGGAUUAGAUACCCUGGUAGUCCACGCUGUAAACGGUGAGUGCUGGGUGUGGGAGGUGUAAUGCCUUCUGUGCCGAAGCUAACGCGUUAAGCACUCCGCCUGGGGAGUACGGCCGCAAGGUUGAA